AACGAACGCUGGCGGCAGGCCUAACACAUGCAAGUCGAGCGGACCCUUCGGGGUUAGCGGCGGACGGGUGAGUAACGCGUGGGAACGUGCCCUUUGCUUCGGAAUAGCCCUGGGAAACUGGGAGUAAUACCGGAUACGCCCUUUUGGGGAAAGAUUUAUCGGCGAAGGAUCGGCCCGCGUUGGAUUAGGUAGUUGGUGGGGUAAUGGCCUACCAAGCCGACGAUCCAUAGCUGGUGUGAGAGGAUGAUCAGCCACACUGGGACUGAGACACGGCCCAGACUCCUACGGGAGGCAGCAGUGGGGAAUCUUAGACAAUGGGGGAAACCCUGAUCUAGCCAUGCCGCGUGAGCGAUGAAGGCCUUAGGGUUGUAAAGCUCUUUCACCGGGGAAGAUAAUGACGGUACCCGGAGAAGAAGCCCCGGCUAACUCCGUG
This 433-nucleotide ribosomal RNA is filed under the name uncultured bacterium. RNAcentral describes it as "partial 16S ribosomal RNA". It matches the Rfam family "Bacterial small subunit ribosomal RNA", at positions 29 to 507 of the family's 1533-position model. The record is from RNAcentral.